Molecule: transfer RNA, 73 nt
Filed under: Mesocricetus auratus (golden hamster)
Lineage: Eukaryota; Metazoa; Chordata; Mammalia; Rodentia; Cricetidae
Rfam family: tRNA
About the family: Transfer RNA (tRNA) molecules are approximately 80 nucleotides in length. Their secondary structure includes four short double-helical elements and three loops (D, anti-codon, and T loops).
Source: Rfam by way of RNAcentral
GGAGAGAUGGCUCAGUGGCUAAGAGCACUGGCUGCUCUUCCAGAGGACCCGGGUUCAGUUCCCAGUGUCCCCA